UGGGGAAUAUUGCACAAUGGGCGCAAGCCUGAUGCAGCCAUGCCGCGUGUAUGAAGAAGGCCUUCGGGUUGUAAAGUACUUUCAGCGGGGAGGAAGGAGUUGUGGUUAAUAACCACAGCAAUUGACGUUACCCGCAGAAGAAGCACCGGCUAACUCCGUGCCAGCAGCCGCGGUAAUACGGAGGGUGCAAGCGUUAAUCGGAAUUACUGGGCGUAAAGCGCACGCAGGCGGUCUGUCAAGUCGGAUGUGAAAUCCCCGGGCUCAACCUGGGAACUGCAUUCGAAACUGGCAGGCUAGAGUCUUGUAGAGGGGGGUAGAAUUCCAGGUGUAGCGGUGAAAUGCGUAGAGAUCUGGAGGAAUACCGGUGGCGAAGGCGGCCCCCUGGACAAAGACUGACGCUCAGGUGCGAAAGCGUGGGGAGCAAACA
This 427-nucleotide ribosomal RNA is filed under the name uncultured bacterium. RNAcentral's name for it is "partial 16S ribosomal RNA". It matches the Rfam family "Bacterial small subunit ribosomal RNA", at positions 355 to 774 of the family's 1533-position model. The record is from RNAcentral.